This 1013-nucleotide long non-coding RNA is filed under the name Urocitellus parryii (Arctic ground squirrel). Its description in RNAcentral is "lncRNA (ENSUPAG00010018381.1)". The record is from RNAcentral. Lineage: Eukaryota; Metazoa; Chordata; Mammalia; Rodentia; Sciuridae.
CCGCGACUCUGGGCUUUCCAGCCCGCGGGCCGGGCUGCCGGACCCGCGAGAAGUUCGGGGAGGCCAGGGAGCGCUCGGGAGCCAGGCUCGGCGGCCGCAGGGAGCGCCAGAGGCGGCGGACCGCUCGGCUCCCGCCGGGCUCUUUGUCAUGCACAUGAGGGCGCUGGACUGAGAAAAGGUCUCCGUCAAGGCGUCGCCACAUGAAGGGCACUUUUCUUCCCCGGUCUGCGUCUUGGCACAGGCCUGCUGCUUCCAAGUGGCCUCUUAUUCAAAGGGCCCGGCCCCCAUUCUUUGUCCCCCUAGGUGCCCGGCCCGCGGCCCCUGGCAGCUGCUGCGCCGUCAGAGGCCCCAUAAAGCCCGCUCUGCAGUGGUUCCGGGCACCGGUUCUGCUCAACGGAGUGACCAGGGAGGAUGGCCCGCMUUGCGUCCUGCUGGCCCGCACUGCCCCCCGCCUCCCGCGUCCCCUAGCUCUAGUCCUCUGGUUGUGCUAAUGUUUGUUAAAAGAGUGAGAAAACAAAAUUAGAGCUUUAGGUGUCAGACCGCCAACAGGCUGUGCCCCGCUUUCAUAUAGGACCCCAGAGCUCCAGAGCUGUGCUGCCCCCACCCCCACCCCCAGCCGGAGUGCAGGGUGCCAGGUAGUGGCCCAGGGAAAGAGUCCUUGGGAUUCAGCUCCUCUUGCCUCUCCAGCUUGCUUUUGUUUUUUCCUUUUCUUUUUCUUUUUUUUGUACUAGGGAUUGUUGAACCAAGAGUGCUUAACCAUUGAGCAUCCCCAGUCCUUUUUCUUUUCAUUUUGAGACAAGGUCUCACUAAGUUGCUUUAGGUCUGGCUAAAUUGCUGAGGCUGGCUUUGGACUUUCCAUCCUCCUGUCUCAACCUCCUGAGUAGCUGGAAUUAUAGGGAUGCACCACCAUGCCCCACUAGAGUUUGCUUUUAAAGCUGAAUGUAUUUGCUCACAUUAGGGAAACUUGGUGUCUGGGUCAACUCUGUGUUGCUAUAAUAAAUAUCUGAAGCUGC